AGCCUGCCUUCGUCCUGUCCCCCCCUCCGCCGGGGGCACUCCCCCCAGGUGGUCCAGACGGAGCUCCCGGGCAGGGAGCCGCCAGGGCCUGCAGAGUCGCGACGACUCUGCCCCCACCCCACACACUGCUGUUCGGUGCGCUGACCUCCUGGAGAAGUUACUCCGACCCGCUGGAAACAAAGUUUGCCUCUCCCUUUCCUCUCCUCUCCUUCCGGCUGUUGCCCAGGGCCGCUCUUGGAAGAGGGGAAGGGAGGUGCUGGUGUGACUGCAAAGGCCCAGCUAAGCUUUCUGACUGCCACACCCAGGGGCUGGCCUCCACCCCACCAGGGCAGAGUCCAUGAAAGAACCGCUAGUGAGAGGGGUCUGUGUUGAACUGCGGUAGAGGAUCUCCACGCAGGACCCACACCUCAGAUUUUGAUUUUCGUGGAUUUGGGAUCCAAGGCCUCCCGGCUUCUGAACCAGGAAACCCUCUCGCCAGGAUCUCCACCAGGGAUGGAGAUCCCCGGGAUGGACACCAUGCAAAACCCACUCUCGGUGGAGUUUCCUGGAAACAACUGCUCACUAGAGUUAAGACUCUCAAAAAAAAAAAAAAGAUAAAGCGAUU
Molecule: long non-coding RNA, 604 nt
Organism: Eubalaena glacialis (North Atlantic right whale)
Lineage: Eukaryota; Metazoa; Chordata; Mammalia; Artiodactyla; Balaenidae
Exons: 4
Source: RefSeq, a predicted model, not a curated record